This 402-nucleotide transfer RNA is filed under the name uncultured Microcystis sp. RNAcentral describes it as "bacterial LSU rRNA". The stretch from base 135 to 208 matches the Rfam family "tRNA". The record is from RNAcentral. Lineage: Bacteria; Bacillati; Cyanobacteriota; Cyanophyceae; Chroococcales; Microcystaceae.
AAGGGAGACCUAAUUCAGGUAGGAGACGAAAAAAAAGUAGUCCCCACCAAGAAUCAAUCCCAAAAGGUCGGAGCGAGGCAAAAUUGGCUUUCAAACUAGGUUCUGGGUUCACACAAGACCUGAAUCAGGAACAAGGGCUAUUAGCUCAGGUGGUUAGAGCGCACCCCUGAUAAGGGUGAGGUCCCUGGUUCGAGUCCAGGAUGGCCCACCUGUACAGGUGGCAAAAAGAAAGAAAAGAAGCGAGGAAUCAGCACCUGAUCUUACUUAUAUAGUAAGAGAGAAUGCUGGCUCUGAGUUCAGAGUCCAGAGGAACCUUGAAAACUGCAUAGAGCUAGGUGAAAAAGCCAAAAAAGAAGACCGCAAGGUCAAGGUAAUAAGGGCUAACGGUGGAUACCUAGGCAC